AUUGAACGCUGGCGGCAUGCCUUACACAUGCAAGUCGAACGGUAACAGGUCUUCGGAUGCUGACGAGUGGCGAACGGGUGAGUAAUACAUCGGAACGUGCCCAGUAAUGGGGGAUAGCCCGGCGAAAGCCGGAUUAAUACCGCAUACGCCCUGAGGGGGAAAGUGGGGGACCGCAAGGCCUCACGUUAUUGGAGCGGCCGAUGGCUGAUUAGCUAGUUGGUGAGGUAAAGGCUAACCAAGGCGACGAUCAGUAGCUGGUCUGAGAGGACGAUCAGCCACACUGGGACUGAGACACGGCACAGACUCCUACGGGAGGGAGCAGUGGGGAAUUUUGGACAAUGGGGGCAACCCUGAUCCAGCAAUGCCGCGUGUGCGAAGAAGGCCUUCGGGUUGUAAAGCACUUUUGUCAGGGAAGAAAUCCUUUGGGCUAAUACCCUAGGGGGAUGACGGUACCUGAAGAAUAAGCACCGGCUAACUACGUGCCAGCAGCCGCCGUAA
This 498-nucleotide ribosomal RNA is filed under the name uncultured bacterium. Its description in RNAcentral is "partial 16S ribosomal RNA". It matches the Rfam family "Bacterial small subunit ribosomal RNA", at positions 30 to 523 of the family's 1533-position model. The record is from RNAcentral.